This 501-nucleotide ribosomal RNA is filed under the name uncultured bacterium. RNAcentral describes it as "partial 16S ribosomal RNA". It matches the Rfam family "Bacterial small subunit ribosomal RNA", at positions 30 to 523 of the family's 1533-position model. The record is from RNAcentral.
AUUGAACGCUGGCGGCAGGCUUAACACAUGCAAGUCGAGCGGGGGAAGGUAGCUUGCUACCGGACCUAGCGGCGGACGGGUGAGUAAUGCUUAGGAAUCUGCCUAUUAGUGGGGGACAACAUCUCGAAAGGGAUGCUAAUACCGCAUACGUCCUACGGGAGGAAGCAGGGGAUCUUCGGACCUUGCGCUAAUAGAUGAGCCUAAGUCGGAUUAGCUAGUUGGUGGGGUAAAGGCCUGCCAAGGCGACGAUCUGUAGCGGGUCUGAGAGGAUGAGCCGCCCAGCUGGGACUGAGACACGGCCCAGACUCCUACGGGAGGCAGCAGUGGGGAAUAUUGGACAAUGGGGGGAACCCUGAUCCAGCCAUGCCGCGUGUGUGAAGAAGGCCUUAUGGUUGUAAAGCACUUUAAGCGAGGAGGAGGCUACUCUAGUUAAUACCUAGGGAUAGUGGACGUUACUCGCAGAAUGAGCACCGGCUAACUCUGUGCCAGCCGCCGCGGUAA